Molecule: ribosomal RNA, 546 nt
Filed under: uncultured bacterium
Lineage: Bacteria
Description: bacterial SSU rRNA
Rfam family: Bacterial small subunit ribosomal RNA
Source: RNAcentral
AAUAGAUACCCGGGUAGUCCACGCCGUAAACGGUGGGCACUAGGUGUGGGCAACAUUCCACGUUGUCCGUGCCGCAGCUAACGCAUUAAGUGCCCCGCCUGGGGAGUACGGCCGCAAGGCUAAAACUCAAAGGAAUUGACGGGGGCCCGCACAAGCGGCGGAGCAUGUGGCUUAAUUCGACGCAACGCGAAGAACCUUACCAAGGCUUGACAUACACCGGAAACGUCUGGAGACAGGCGCCCCCUUGUGGUCGGUGUACAGGUGGUGCAUGGCUGUCGUCAGCUCGUGUCGUGAGAUGCUGGGUUAAGUCCCGCAACGAGCGCAACCUUUGUCCCGUGUUGCCAGCAGGCCCUUGUGGUGCUGGGGACUCACGGGAGACCGCCGGGGUCAACUCGGAGGAAGGUGGGGACGACGUCAAGUCAUCAUGCCCCGUUAUGUCUUGGGCUGCACACGUGCUACAAUGGCCGGUACAAAGAGCUGCGAUACCGUGAGGUGGAGCGAAUCUCAAAAAGCCGGUCUCAGUUCGGAUUGGGGUCUGCAACUCCG